Molecule: ribosomal RNA, 388 nt
Filed under: uncultured microorganism
Description: bacterial SSU rRNA
Rfam family: Archaeal small subunit ribosomal RNA
Source: RNAcentral
GCGCACCAGGCGAGAAACUUCACACUGUGCGAAAGCACGAUGAGGGAAUCCCAAGUGCUUGCACGUAAGUGUAAGCUGUUUCUCUGUUUAAAACGCAGAGAGAGUAAGGGCUGGGUAAGACGGGUGCCAGCCGCCGCGGUAAUACCUGCAGCCCAAGUGGUGACCGUUAUUAUUGGGCCUAAAACGUCCGUAGCCGGUUUAAUAAAUGCCUGGGUAAAUCGUGUAGCUUAACUAUACGAAUUCCGGGUAGACUGUUAAACUCGAGACCGGGAGAAGUUAGAGGUACUCCUGGGGUAGAGGUGAAAUUCUGUAAUCCUAGGGGGACCACCAGUGGCGAAGGCGUCUAACUAGAACGGAUCUGACGGUGAGGGACGAAGCCCUGGGGCGC